CAACGCCGCGUGCAGGAUGACGCUUUUCGGAGUGUAAACUGCUUUUCUUAGGGACGAGUAAGGACGGUACCUAAGGAAUAAGCCCCGGCUAACUACGUGC
This 100-nucleotide ribosomal RNA is filed under the name uncultured bacterium. RNAcentral describes it as "partial 16S ribosomal RNA". It matches the Rfam family "Bacterial small subunit ribosomal RNA", at positions 392 to 508 of the family's 1533-position model. The record is from RNAcentral.